Biomphalaria pfeifferi is the source of this 557-nucleotide non-coding RNA. The record is from the annotation of a GenBank genome assembly. Lineage: Eukaryota; Metazoa; Mollusca; Gastropoda; Planorbidae.
UAGUCAUUCUUUGUUCUACGUUCCCUGGAAGGAUAACAAAAUGUAAGUUCCAAUUCAUGCUCUCUAUGCUUAUACAAAAUAAAAUAUUUAGCAACAUCUAAACUAAGAGUCUAACAAUCUAGUUAAAGAUUUACACAUGUGCUAUAGACAUGGACUUGAAAUGAUCUAAAGACAUAGACUCACAAAGAGCUAAAAACAUUGACUAAAGUACUAAAGAUGUAGAAUUGAAAUGAUCAAAGACAUAGAUUUACAAUGUUCGAUUGACAUGGACUUACAAAUCUGCUGCAGCCAUAGUUUUAAAAUGCUUUGAAGAUAUAGAUUUACAAUGUUCUCUAGACAUACUUUUACAAAUGCGCCACAGAGAUAAUUUUAAAAUGUGCUUAAGACAAGCUUAAAAUUUUACGAUUGAAUAUGCAAAUAAACUUAAAAUACGCUAUAAUCAUACGCUUGAAAUUUGCUGUAUGAAUAUUUAUACAAUAAUCAUAGAAUGUGCUACAGACACACACUUACACUGUGCUAUAAUAUCGAUAACAGGCCACUGUUGUUGACACUGUGAG